This 610-nucleotide ribosomal RNA is filed under the name uncultured bacterium. RNAcentral describes it as "bacterial SSU rRNA". It matches the Rfam family "Bacterial small subunit ribosomal RNA", at positions 86 to 692 of the family's 1533-position model. The record is from RNAcentral.
GGGCGUCGAGCGGCGGACGGGUGAGUAAUGCCUAGGAAAUUGCCUUGAUGUGGGGGAUAACCAUUGGAAACGAUGGCUAAUACCGCAUAAUGCCUACGGGCCAAAGAGGGGGAUCUUCGGACCUCUCGCGUCAAGAUAUGCCUAGGUGGGAUUAGCUAGUUGGUGAGGUAAUGGCUCACCAAGGCGACGAUCCCUAGCUGGUCUGAGAGGAUGAUCAGCCACACUGGAGCUGAGACACGGUCCAGACUCCUACGGGAGGCAGCAGUGGGGAAUAUUGCACAAUGGGCGAAAGCCUGAUGCAGCCAUGCCGCGUGUAUGGAGAAGGCCUUCGGGUUGUAAAGUACUUUCAGUUGUGAGGAAGGGGAUAACGUUAAUAGCGUUAUCUCUUGACGUUAGCAACAGAAGAAGCACCGGCUAACUCCGUGCCAGCAGCCGCGGUAAUACGGAGGGUGCGAGCGUUAAUCGGAAUUACUGGGCGUAAAGCGCAUGCAGGUGGUUCAUUAAGUCAGAUGUGAAAGCCCGGGGCUCAACCUCGGAACUGCAUUUGAAACUGGUGAACUAGAGUGCUGUAGAGGGGGGUAGAAUUUCAGGUGUAGCGGUGAAAUGCGUA